CACACCGUAAACGAUGGAUACUAGGUGUGGGGGGUCUGACCCCCUCCGUGCCGGAGUUAACACAAUAAGUAUCCCACCUGGGGAGUACGAUCGCAAGAUUGAAACUCAAAGGAAUUGACGGGGGCCCGCACAAGCAGUGGAGUAUGUUGUUUAAUUCGACGCAACGCGAAGAACCUUACCAGGGUUUGACAUCUAACGAAUCUUGUGGAAACACAGGAGUGCCCUUCGGGGAACGUUAAGACAGGUGG
Molecule: ribosomal RNA, 248 nt
Filed under: uncultured Oscillospiraceae bacterium
Lineage: Bacteria; Bacillati; Bacillota; Clostridia; Eubacteriales; Oscillospiraceae
Description: partial 16S ribosomal RNA
Rfam family: Bacterial small subunit ribosomal RNA
Source: RNAcentral